GCUGGAAUUGUGGCUCAGAGGUAGAAUACUUGCCUGGCAUGUGUGAUGCCCUGGGUUCAAUCCUCAGCCCAGCA
Molecule: transfer RNA, 74 nt
Filed under: Marmota monax (woodchuck)
Lineage: Eukaryota; Metazoa; Chordata; Mammalia; Rodentia; Sciuridae
Description: tRNA.Ala
Source: RNAcentral